This 488-nucleotide ribosomal RNA is filed under the name uncultured bacterium. RNAcentral's name for it is "bacterial SSU rRNA". It matches the Rfam family "Bacterial small subunit ribosomal RNA", at positions 15 to 518 of the family's 1533-position model. The record is from RNAcentral.
GAUCAUGGCUCGAGGACGAACGCUGGCGGCGUGCCUAACACAUGCAAGUCGAGCGAGGAGAUUCCUUCGGGAUGAUCCUAGCGGCGGACGGGUGAGUAACACGUGGGCAACCUGCCUCAUAGAGAGGAAUAGCCUUCCGAAAGGGAGAUUAAUACCUCAUAACAUUGCAGUUUCGCAUGGAACAGCAAUUAAAGGAGUAAUCCGCUAUGAGAUGGGCCCGCGGCGCAUUAGCUAGUUGGUGAGGUAACGGCUCACCAAGGCGACGAUGCGUAGCCGACCUGAGAGGGUGAUCGGCCACAUUGGGACUGAGACACGGCCCAGACUCCUACGGGAGGCAGCAGUGGGGAAUAUUGCACAAUGGGGGAAACCCUGAUGCCAGCAACGCCGCGUGAGUGAUGACGGCCUUCGGGUUGUAAAGCUCUGUCUUCAGGGACGAUAAUGACGGUACCUGAGGAGGAAGCCACGGCUAACUACGUGCCAGCCGCCGC